Molecule: unclassified non-coding RNA, 269 nt
Filed under: uncultured fungus
Lineage: Eukaryota; Fungi
Description: partial internal transcribed spacer 1
Source: RNAcentral
UUCCUACAAAACCCGAAAGCCAAUGAUCCCCGCCACUAUAUGCAACCAGCAAAACAGGCGAUGAAAGAGGUGGUACGCAAAGUAAUCCAUGUUUGCGGCUGUGAAGGGCAACUGUGAGGAAUCGCCUGUGAUCUACACGCUAACACUUAAUAGCGCGAUUGAUAUGAAUAUAUUUAGCGAUCCUUUACAGCCAAAUAUUGUCAAUCGCACUCACCACACCGAGUUUUGCCCAAAUGGUAAAGGAGUAAAUGUUGCGCUGGUUCUGGAUC